CCCUAAUAUUCAUUCUUCUCCUUCACGCUUCUGGAUAUUCUCAUACGCUCAAACCCUAGACUCUUAUCUUCCCCUUCACAAUUCCUUGGCCAUUGAAGCAUUCGAUCUUCAAUUGUUCUUCCAAUAUUUUCGAUUUCUUAAUCAUUUAUUCAUCCUAUACCCAUGAUGAUCGGACAAGAUCAGAAUCAACUGUAUACAUCUCCUUCGAUUGGUGGCUAGAGAUGCUUUGCAGAGAGAUGAUGUUAAACAUCUAGGGUUUGGGACAAUCGGUCCAGUGUUUCAUCAAUAUUCAGUAACUUUAUAUUUUGAAUUUUAGUUUUGAUUUUGAGUUUUCUUAUGGUUUAAAUCAGGAACUGGAGUUUAACUUUAGAACUAUAUUGGCUACAUCAAUCGGAUUUUUGAGUUCAAUAUCAGUUUUACUUUCAUCGAACAGUCAAUCCACCUUCAAGUAAUCCUUUGGGUUUUCAGUUCCUCCACCCUAUUUUAGUGCAAUUGAUUAUGUGUGCUGAUGGAGGUUCAUGGUCUGUCAUGCAUAGUUGUGGCAGUCUACGAACGCGCUGUUGUUGUUCGGAUCGAGAUCACACCGUGUGUAAAUGUUUGCUUUACUUUUUCUUCAUGUAUUGUGUAUAACACACGUAAGGUGGGGGAGUGAGUUUCGCGAAAGCCGCAGUUGAGAGUGACACAAGAGUGCUCGCUUCCGAUGCUAGAAGAAAACAUAAAACUAGAGUCAACACAAAUGCUGCAGGAUUUUACCGGCACUUGUAACGACCAAAGAAAAGAAAGUCAUUGGAAAACAAUAGUUUCAAAGUGGAAGAGCAUCUGCAGUAAGCUUGAAUCUGUAUAUACUUAAAAAAAGACCAUGGUUACAUGAUGCGAGAGUGAUGCACCAAAUAUCGCAUAAUGUGGUCCCUCACAUGAUGCGGUUGGAUGCGCGCAUCAUGAAGUUAGUCAGAUUUUUUCCCCAAAAUACAGCCUUGAUUUCUUGUAGGCUUGGAGACGGACUCUGGGUCUCGGCUAAAGUGUGUUUACUUUUCAUCUCCUCAACAAUAUCUCCAUUGACAAGGGUCUGUUCCAUUGUGACAAUUGUGGAAUCUAUAGAGUUGCUGACCGUGAGUACUACUUCCAUUGCAAGAAAUGUGGUAUGUAUAGGACAUUUUUUUGUAUGUGUGUUAGUGCAGUGCCGGAUUCAGAAUUGGUUACCGGGCCGGGUAACAGAAAAUAGCCAGAAUUGAGAAAAUUUUCAACAUUAAUGUAUACUUUAUGAUCAAGAAAUACACUAUAUUUGUAAAGCGAGACCAUGGAUUGGGUGGCAAACACGGUAGAUCGAAGAAGAAGUUCGGGAAGGGUUCAAAAACUGAAAAAGAUGCUAGCUACUACCUUGUGGACUCUCGAACAUGGAAAACAUUCCGACGAAGUUUGUAGACAAGCAAAAACUUGAAACCGAGUAACUUCUGAAUGGCUAAUUUUGUUUUAAAUUAGGACUUUAUGGUGUUAUUCAUUUACUUUUCAAAUGAUUAUGAUGAUUUGAAACAGUGUAGACAUGGACUUGAUUAUGAUUUUCCAUCGUGGGUUUUUUUUUUCAGGAACCAACAACACAACUGAUUUUGGGUUACAAGUCUUCAUUCAAGUUGUUUGGUUCACAGACGGAAGAGACCCAGAGUCAACCAAGUUCCGCCAUUCCGUUCGAGUAUUGCUAUGAAUUAAGUCCAAAUCAGAAGACUUUCGAAGCGCCUUUGAUGAAUCUAACCAUGGAAGGAGGAGACAAGUAUUCGGUCAAAAAUCCCUUUGUCUUUGUUCCUCUUGAAGAUGGUGGAACCGUGUUUUGUUUGGGUAUCGAUAAAAGUGAGGAUGUAAACAUCAUCGGGCAAAACUCUUCAUGAUGGGUUAUCGAGUAGUGUAUGAUCGCGAGAAGAAUAUUUUGGGCUGGAAAGCUUCUAAUUGUGUUACCAACUUCGUAUGUGAAGAACAGUGCACUAAUUUAGUUCUGUGAAGAUUUGGGCUUAACUAUUGAGGGGAUCCUUAAGAUUGUAAUGUUUACAUUGGAACCAAAGAUAUGCUGCAAAAACCUCAAAUGUGCAACUCGUGGAGCUGCUUGGAGCUCAGGAGUGACUUAGGAUUGAAGGAAUUCGAAGAGAACUAUGGUGAAAUUUGCAUGAAUUCGUUUGCAACAAUAUCUUGCAGCUUGACACGAUACAAAUAUGUGAUUUAGCAAGCAUGACGUUGUCUUGAUUAUUAUGAUUAUUGACUGCUUAUAUGUCUUUUUUUCUUGAUGUUACCAAUCUAAACUGUUGUCAAAUUCGAAUUAUAGAUACUAAUCUGGUAGCCCAACACGAAUGAAGCCAGAAUCAGUUAACACAAACCUUAUGGUAUUUUAGGUUAUAUUAAUGGUGGUGGAGCAACAAAUGAAUCAUAACGGACCUGUUUUUAUGUAGCCAUUCAUCGAUUCGUCGUAUUAUUAUUAGACGACUUUUUUACUUGCUUGAAAGUAGCAUUAGCACCGGUGGUGGUGUCGUUUGCUGGCAAGUGAUCAGGAUAAAGAUAUGCUAGAGGUGUAUUUAGGGAAGCAGGUCUGUAAUGGUGGCUGCAAAAACUACACUUCUUCACCUAAUCCAAAAGGCGGUUAACCGCUUACGUUAAUCUCAUUAACUUAAACAAUAUGUGUGUCUACUUUAAGUUGAUGUUAUUGAUAAUGUAUUUUGGUGAGAAUUAAUAUUUUUGUUCUUUAACUCAGUA
Molecule: RNA transcript, 2733 nt
Organism: Helianthus annuus (common sunflower)
Lineage: Eukaryota; Viridiplantae; Streptophyta; Magnoliopsida; Asterales; Asteraceae
Exons: 16
Source: RefSeq, a predicted model, not a curated record